AGCAGGAUCAAUAACGGAAAUUCGUGGUGGGUCUUUGUGCUGUUUUCUCUCUCUGAGAGAGAUUCGCUUUUUGACCCCCCGUUUAACCAAAACCUUUUUGGAGUGACGCCCAUGAAAUACCGGCCGACCGCGCGAAGCCGGGAGUCAGCCCUUUGGGCUUUCGAGCCCUUUGGGAAAACAACAAACCAUUUUUUUACACCGCGUAACGGUGGAUCUCUUGGUUCGUGCCUCGAUGAAAACCGCAUCCAAGCGCGAUAGUUAUGGUGAAUCGCAGAGAACCGCGAGCCAGAAAACUGUUGAAUGCACGCUGCGGCCCUGGGAACUUCCAUUCCCUGGGUCACACAUUUCCGAGUGUCGGUUUUUCAACUCCGACAAAAAGGUAACACCUGAGUGGUGUUUUUGCCUACACCAACUGGUGAAGCAAGCUGCGAAAUAGCCCCCCGAACUUGCAUGUAUUUGCUUGUUUUGGGGGGCUUUCGUUUGACAGAUUGCGGCUGACCUUUUGCUUGUUUUGACCUUUUCGUGUGUCUUGAUGUGUUCAACGUGUAAAAAGCCUUGACAUGUCCCACGAAAACCAAAAAAGGACAAAACCAAAAAUGGUUGCCGGAUUGCAAUCCAACAAACAAACAAAAUUUGUAUUUACGUACAAUUUUUGUUUGUUUGUUUUUCAAGACCUCGGGAAUGUGAGAUCACGCCCGGAACUUAAGCAUAUCAUUAAGGGCAGGACAAGAAAGCAACCGCGAUUCCAUUAGUAACUGCGAGUGAACAUGGAAACACGCAAGUGAGCCCAUCCACAAGACCUUGCGGCAGAGGGAAACCAAAGCCGCAGUACUGCAAGGUUUGGAUGUUUCGGCGAUCCUGAGGUUUUUAGCCCCAGCAAGUUGCCUGGAACGGCACGCCAUGGAGGGUGACAGCCCCGUUCGGCUGGGCGACCAAGGGAAACAAAGCUGAAGCGUUCCGAGAGUCGGACUGUUUGAGACUGCAGUCUGAACCGGGAGAUAUGCCUCUCCCAAGGCUAAACAUUGGCACGAGACCGAUAGCGAACAAGUAGAAUGAUCGAAAGAUGCAAAGCACUCUGCAAAGAGAGUGAAAAGUACGUGAAACCGUUACGUUGCAGCGUAACGACAUCCAUCCGUUUGAAAGCCCCCGGCUGCCUUCGGGCGGUCAAGCGACGGGGGAUUUUGGGCAGCACCAAUCAGGAUUGCCGCACGGCGGUGUGGAGCAUGUCAGGUUGCCUUCGGGCGGCUUGGCCUCCACGCUGGUCUCUGGACGGUCCUGAUUCGAAACCUCUUCCAGGGCAACGCAACAGGUUUUUGCCACCACGUUUGGGUGCGGUCGCAGCGCCGCUGGCUUUUUAACCAACUGCCAGUGACCUGAGGCUGUGCCACGAUGUGUCGAGCGGCUUGUGCGGAUGCUUUGGUAACGUAUGCUGCUUUGAAUGGUGUCGUUACACCCGUCUUGAAACACGGACCAAGGAGUCUACUGCAUGCGCGAGCAUUAUGGUGAUAGAAACCAUCAAUGCACAAUGAAAGUGAACGGUGGGCUUGUUCCUACCUUUGUGUGGCGAAGCCGCAAGGCUGCAGUCACGGCCGCGCCCAGGGAGCAGGGACGCGAGUCAAAGUGCAUCCAGUGGGACCCGAAAGAAGGUGAACUUUUCCCGAACAGGGCGAAGCCGGGAGAAAUUCCGGUGGAGGCUCGUAGCAGUGCUGACGUACAAAUCGCUUGCCAAAUUCGGGUAAAGGGGCGAAAGACUCAUCGAACUUUCUAGUAGCUGGUUCCCUC
This 1782-nucleotide unclassified non-coding RNA is filed under the name uncultured fungus. RNAcentral describes it as "sequence contains 18S rRNA gene, ITS1, 5.8S rRNA gene, ITS2, 28S rRNA gene". The stretch from base 671 to 1782 matches the Rfam family "Eukaryotic large subunit ribosomal RNA", at positions 1 to 961 of the family's 3401-position model. Lineage: Eukaryota; Fungi. The record is from RNAcentral.